This is a long non-coding RNA of Felis catus (domestic cat), 2192 nucleotides long. RefSeq lists it as uncharacterized. Lineage: Eukaryota; Metazoa; Chordata; Mammalia; Carnivora; Felidae. The transcript is spliced from 4 exons. The record is from RefSeq and is a predicted model, not a curated record.
UUUGCAGCUGUCACACCCACAUUCCCAGUAGCAGAUAGAAGAAAGGAGAAAAAAGAGACUGGCAGAGGUUUAUGGAAGCUGCCAUGUGAUACUCCCACUUACACCCCAUUGGCCAGACCUUAGCCACAUGACUAAAUUCUAACUGCAAGGAAGGCUGGGAAAUGCUCUUUUUAUUCUAAACAGCCAUCCUUCCCAAUAAACAUGUCAUUACUUAGGAAGAGGAGGAGAAUGGCUGUGAAGGGCAACCCAUUGGUCUCUGUCCAUCUUUCACUGAUUAGAGACACCGUCACCUGAUGGGGCAGAAGGAAGUAGCCAGCCAUCAGAGGUGUCAAAGCAGGGAUAUGUAAUUGUGUGUGUGAGUUGCUUUUUUCCUUGGAUGUAGUUGUCUGAAUUUACCUCGCCACAUUCUUUUCUCUUCCUUACAGGACCACUCUUGCUAGGAGCCACCUAGGGUGGGUUCUUCUGGGUGUUCUGACAGACUGUCCAUCCAUGUCAGGUUCACAAGGGCACGAAGUGCAGUAUAUAAAAAGAGGAUAAUGACUUGACUUGAGUGCAGGAAAAGGCCCAAUGAACAGAGCAGCCAAGCUUGCCCGGACGAGAAUAGAUGAAAGUUUGGAGAAGAGUCAAGAAGAAAUGGCAUUGUCUGCAUGACCGUCUGGAUUCCAGAAGCUUGCUUGAAACUCUUUCCGUGAUUAAGAAUUGUAGUCCCUCUCACAAUCUCAUCCAAGGAACAUCUGCUCAGAGAAGCCAGUCAAUAUUGUGGAGAAGUUCAAAGAAUGCAGACCAUUAGUAGUGUCAGCUUUACAACCAGGAGCAUCCUAAUAAGUCAUCCUUGAUUUCAUUAGGAGGGAAUAUAAACAAUAUCCAAUUUUACUGUAAUAAAUAUUUCUACCUGAUUACAUCAUUACGUGGAUUUCAUUGAAAGAAAUACAUCUAGGCUCUUGGAAGACCUUAAGAGGUAAGUAAUUAAACAAAAUAGUAGUGAAAAUAGAGAAAGGAUCUAAUAGAACCUGUUCUUAAACAGCCAAUAUUAAUUUAAUCAGUCUGCUCUUGAGUUGUAUACCUGCCAACUUCCACAGAAGUUCUGAGCUUAAAUAAAGUUGCAAGACAGAUUUUUUAAAGAUCAUAUAAAGGAAAGAUUAAGUAAUUAUAAACUAGAGACAUAACUUUUGGCUUAAACCAAAGGGAAAUAUGAUAAAUUAUAUAAAUCCUAAUUUCUAAUUAAUGGAAAUACAUGGAUUUAUCAGGGAAGUCAGACCUUAUUCUAAAAGAAAAAAAUCCAGAAAGAAGUUUUUUAUUGAUGGUUGGGUUUUAAACAAUUAGUUUCAAAAUGAAAAUCAUUUAGAUCAUUAUCUCUUAAGGUCCUGGCCUUCAUGUUUCAGCAGAGAAAAAGACUGGAAGGUAGGAUCUCUAUAUACACCUUAUAUUCCACCAUUUGAAAGUAUCAACAAACCAGAGGAAAUUAAUGCUGUGUGUAUUAUUUUGGCUGAAGAACCUCUAAGUAAAGAUAUAAGUAAAUACAGAAAAAUUUUAAGCAAAAUCACAAGACAAUAGGAUAAAACAGUGGUUUAUCAAAAUCAAGCUUAUUAUCUAAUUGCCUGUUACCUAAGGAAGAAAACCCAGUUGAAUGUUUUUUGACCAUUUUUGAUCUCACUGGCUUUGAAAUCACCAUUUUGAAGAACAGUUCUUAUCAUAAAAUAAGCUAUACAUUCUUGGAGGACACAGAUUUUACCUUGUUCAUCGUCCCUGUUAUAGAGCUAUUAUAUGAGCAGGCGCCUGGUAAAGAGUAGGUAGGUAUCUAUAACCAUUGGCGAGGUUGAAGGGAAGUGUCCACGAUGGUGAAAAGGACUAGAGUAAGGAGAUUUCUCGUGCAUUGACUCUGGCAAUCACCCCAAGCAUUGGUUGAUUGUUUGUUUGUUUUAAAUAAACCCUUGGUAGAAUCUUAGGGUAUUAAAACUGGAAGGAUCUUCGUGUUAAAGUUUGAUGUGUUCCAUCAUACCCCCUGCCCUGCCAAUUUCAGAAAGAGUUGAGAAUUAGUCAUAGAUUGCCAGUAGAGCUGUAUUGGAAAAUACUUUUGUACUCGAGAUCCAGUGGAAUUUCUAAAAUUGUUACCUGCUUAUGAAGAGAAGAUUGGGUCUGCAGGAUGGACAGAGACCCAAAGCAGUUAUAAGGGAAUACACACACACACACAC